GGAAGCUUGCUUCCGAUAGGCGUCGACCGGCGCACGGGUGAGUAACGCGUAAUCCAACCUGCCCAUCACUUGGGGAUAACCUUGCGAAGUAAGACUAAUACCCAAUGACGUCUACUAGAAGACAUCUGAAAGAGAUUAAAGAUUUAUCGGUGAUGGAUGGGGAUGCGUCUGAUUAGCUUGUUGGCGGGGUAACGGCCCACCAAGGCGACGAUCAGUAGGGGUUCUGAGAGGAAGGUCCCCCACAUUGGAACUGAGACACGGUCCAAACUCCUACGGGAGGCAGCAGUGAGGAAUAUUGGUCAAUGGACGAGAGUCUGAACCAGCCAAGUAGCGUGCAGGAUGACGGCCCUAUGGGUUGUAAACUGCUUUUAUAAGGGAAUAAAGUGGGAGUCGUGACUCUUUUUGCAUGUACCUUAUGAAUAAGGACCGGCUAAUUCCGUG
RNAcentral lists this ribosomal RNA (441 nucleotides) under uncultured bacterium. RNAcentral's name for it is "bacterial SSU rRNA". It matches the Rfam family "Bacterial small subunit ribosomal RNA", at positions 68 to 507 of the family's 1533-position model. The record is from RNAcentral.